This is a long non-coding RNA of Equus caballus (horse), 2302 nucleotides long. Lineage: Eukaryota; Metazoa; Chordata; Mammalia; Perissodactyla; Equidae. The record is from Ensembl.
GGGGAACGAGGCCUCCGAGGCCCCUCAUGGCCACCAACUGUGGCCACCUGCACCUGCCGUGAAAUCAGCCCGGCCCAGUGGCCCCAGGACCUGAGAACUGAGUGCCCUGCAGCUUAUAAACUAACAAAAUUGGCUGAGCAAGAACUUGCCUGAAGGGUUGGGCAGGGGGUGUCCGAGCUCUGGGUGGACGUGGGGCACCUUGUCACUAAUUCGUAGCUCGGUCACUUAGGUUCACCCACCGCAGCCCCAACCUACAGCCCGACCCACCCAAAGGAGGAAGAAAUAAGAGGGCAAGUGUGAGGAAAGCAUUUUACAGCUCUUUAAUAACUGUUUUGCUAGGUUCUGUUUCUUCUGUUCAAAGUAUGUUAUAAAAAUAUUCUGCAAUUAAAGAAAGAAAAAAAAAACAGGAAAGUCCUUUUAAAAACAGGUUUGAGGUAAAGAACAGGUUGAUCCUAUCAGCUCGGGGAAAACACCUCCCGCAGCAAAAGUCCGUGACCAGCUGUGUUUGCACUCGCUGGGGAGAGGGAGGGGGCAGCGAGGUCACGGGGGAUGGCGCCCCGAGGUCUGAGGGCAGCUCUCUGUCCUGUCCCUCCAGCGCUGUCGCUAGGAGCCAGAGUCACUCACACCACAGCUUCCAUCCUCCGUGAUCUGGUCUGCACAAGCACUCCAUCCUGCAGUUAGUCCAGCCCUGCAAACGGAGCCCGAGUCAGGACGGACCCAACCUGGCCUUUCAGGACCCGGCCUCUGCAGGUAAAUCCUGCCUUUCACCUCCUGCCACCCUUCUCCAAGAUGUCUGUGGGACAUGGCUACUGCGAACUCCUGUUGGAGGAGAAAUGGCCUAGACAUACAGGGGAUUCUGUUCUUAUCCUCAACUCCUCUCUCCCAACUCCUGAAAGAGGGUGAUGGUCCCUGCACAGAGCCCUGGGACCUGCAGUGACUUCUCUGGAGGAGUAUCCUUCCCCACCACACUGAUUUGGCCACCCAGUGACUUGCCUAGGGCAGCGGCAGGUGGGAGCAGGUGCGUUCAGAGCCAGCGUUGGUUCCUGCCAGCUCUCUCAUUCUUUUCCCUUCCCUGAGAAAGGCAUGACCCACACUGGGGCUGCUCUCUCAGUCAGGGGCCCAGACUGAGAAGACAUGUGGGGCAGAGCCCAGAGGACCACAGCCACCAACAUGUAACACACCUGCGGGAUAAACUGCUAUGUUUUAAGACGCAGAGAUGAGGGGCGGUUUGUUCCUGCGGCCUUAACUAGCAAAAGCUGACGGACAUAGGCCUUGUCCUCCUCCGAGUCCUCCACAGUAAUGUCUCUUCUCCGCUUGCCUCAAGCCUGUAGCCAGAGAAUCCUGCUCUGCUCCCCUUGUUUUGGGCAGAGUCCUCGCUUUACCUGCGAUCCCGCUCAGGUCCAACUGCUGGUGCUGGAGUAGACUUCAAGGUGACCGCUCACCCCCCAGGAGGUGGAGCAAGAACCCUCCACCCUCAGCAUCCCCUCAGCCAGACCAGCACGUGGGCCCGGAGAGAAGGAAUCCGAGCACACGCCUCUCACCCCCUGCCACCCUUACCCUGCUUCCUCCAUGGUCCCUCGUGGGGAAGGAGUGGCUCUGCACUUCCUGUUUGCCAUUACCUGAGCCCUUGCCACCUGGGGAGUGAUAAACUUUGUGAUCUCAUCAGCCAAGCCUGGACUUCCAUAUGCUACCGGAGGAUCUCUGUCAACAAUCCCCCUAUUUCCGCAAAGCCUGGACUUCCAUACCAUCAUCUCCAUAACGAGGUCAAAAAAGUCAGCUUGGAGUCCCGAGGAUGACCACUUCCCACCCCUUCCCUGUGGCAAUGUCUGAUGGCUCAUCCUCUGAGACGGCAGCUGCAAGAAAACGUGAAUGAAAGGGUGAUUUUAAAAAGGAAUCCGUUCAAAUAGUUAAGAUGGGUCGCUCCUGUGGUGUUCCUGUUUUUCCUUUUUCAAGAUUCUCAGAGCUACUACUAUCUGCGUUCUCCUGAGGAGGGGAAGGGCGCUUCACUCUACCCAGCCUACUGGGAGAGGGCUUAAGAGUGGCCCUGUCCAUCUCAUGUGACCUUCUGGCCCCAGACCCCAAUAAAAUCCUCAAAUAUUCUCCUUGCCACGGAUACAUGGAGUUCAAGAGCCUUGACAUAUACACUAAUGUGCUCAGUGUCAUUCAGGAACCAGGUUGGCUGCAUAGAACAGAAAAACCAAAUAACAGUGGCUUAAACAAAAUAGGAGCUCAUUUGUCUCACAUAAUGAGGAGAUCAAACAUUAAAAAUUCAGGGCAGUCUAGCAUCCCCAUGACGUUCUCC